Long non-coding RNA from Pseudophryne corroboree (corroboree frog), 1489 nucleotides. RefSeq lists it as uncharacterized. NCBI's taxonomy places the organism in Eukaryota, Metazoa, Chordata, Amphibia, Anura, Myobatrachidae. The transcript is spliced from 3 exons. The record is from RefSeq and is a predicted model, not a curated record.
GUGGCCCCACGUAGUUAGGAUAGUGUCCUGCUGCAAUCUGACACAGGCCCUAAAGCUGGUUCUGAGUUGUGUAUAAAUGAAUCAAGCCACACCAUAUUCCCGCAAACUCAGUCCACCAGGAAUAUAUAUUCAGUUUAGUAAUAAACAAGCUUUACGCUUCCACCUGAUGUCAGUGUUCAGUACCAGACCUGGAUAUAACAUGAACUUGCAGCAGUACUACUGGUUCCUAGAAGGAUCAUCUCCCUACACCCUUUGGACUGUGAACCCCAGUGAUGGGGCUGUCGCAGGGAUGGUUUUCUCCACUAAAUUGUCACAGGCUUUGGGCAGAAAUUCAAUUAGCCACUGUAGAUUACAGCAGAAUAAUUGUUCCCCCUUUAGCCCAGAAGUCAGAUUUAUGAACUAUUCAGUGCAUGGACCAGAAAGGAUUAUUGCUCACAGCCGGACAAUGACAAAAAACAUUCUGGAUCAUUUUGUAUGAUUAUCAAAUAAGACUGUAUUAUCUUCCAGCCAACAAGUUCAAUCGUAUCCAUUGCAGUUGUGUAACAAAAAACAAAGUAACAGCAUAAUAAUGUGUCACUACAUAAAACAAAAAUGCCUGACUAUGGGGCCAAUUCAAUUGUUUGUCUCCCCAGCCACUACAAGAUGGCGCCCAAAGGAGCAAGUCAAUUGUUGCUCAGUUCGAGCGGGCAUGCCGCAAGGGAAACAUUUCAGCUCAUAGCCUCCUGAGGUGCGAGCUGAAAGGUGCAUAAACGCCGUGGUCUGGGGUCUCAAACCUGUACUUUAGGCAGGUUUAGCAGAUUUGCCUGGCUAAUCCCAGUACUAAUGGGCACGCACACGGUGCAUGCGCGGCCAACUGUGACAAUUGAAUAGCCCCGGUGGGCGCCCAAUACUUUUGGAUGCCCACAAAACAACUGAAUCUGCCACUAUGAAUCUAAGGCUGGGUACACACUAUAGCAUCGGAUUGGCCACCCAGCCGACCUGCCAAGUAUGCCGCACAGCAUACACACUUACUGACAAAUAUGCCAUACCACAGAAACCGGUUGUAACAUCCCUGUCGGCUUCUCCUUUGGCCAGCCGACAGAUUGUCCGUAUACCAGGCAUAUGUAACAAUAUAUCUGCAUCUGCUGUGUUGCAUACCCACCGAUGCACUUGAUAUAUGGUUAGUUAGUUGACUGUAGGAACAAUAUAUUGCAUAGUGUGUACCCAGCCCAACUAAACAGUUGCUAAUAUUGGUCAAAAUUGUGAAUUUGCAAAGAGUUGCGCUCCCCUUGAAACAUACCAAUGUCAAUGUUCCUUCCACGGUAACUGAAUUCAGUGAUCAGUAUAUAUUUUGGCUCUCAAUUUCAAGCCCUUUUCAAAACGUAUUAACCUAUGUUCCCCCAACACUGUUCCCCAAUUUAUUCAUUUUCAACAAAAAUAAAUAAUCUGAGCAGGUAUAACUUCAGAAUUUUAGGAAUACUAUAAAUAACGUCGUAAUACAGUCUGGCCU